This 892-nucleotide ribosomal RNA is filed under the name uncultured archaeon. Its description in RNAcentral is "bacterial SSU rRNA". It matches the Rfam family "Archaeal small subunit ribosomal RNA", at positions 17 to 918 of the family's 1478-position model. The record is from RNAcentral.
CCGGACAUGACUGCUAUCGGAUUGGUACUAAGCCAUGCGAGUCGUUGUAGCAAUACAAGGCGGACGGCUCAGUAACACGUAGUCAACCUAACCUAUGGACGUGGAUAACCUCGGGAAACUGAGAAUAAACCGCGAUAGAUCAUAAUGCCUGGAAUGGCUUAUGGUUAAAAUAAUUUAUCGCCGUAGGAUGGGACUGCGGCCUAUCAGCUUGUUGGUGAGGUAAUGGCCCACCAAGGCUAUAACAGGUACGGGCUCUGAGAGGAGAAGCCCGGAGAUGGGUACUGAGACACGGACCCAGGCCCUAUGGGGCGCAGCAGGCGAGAAACCUUAGCAAUGUGCGAAAGCACGACUAGGUUAAUCCGAGUGAUUUCUGUUGAAGAAAUCUUUUGUCAGUCGUAAAACCACAGACGAAUAAGGGGUGGGCAAGUCUGGUGUCAGCCGCCGCGGUAAUACCAGCACCUCGAGUGGUCAGGAGGUUUAUUGGGCCUAAAGCAUCCGUAGCCGGCUAUGCAAGUCUCCGGUUAAAUCCAACUGCUCAACAGAUGGGCUGCCGGAGAUACUACACAGCUAGGGAGCGGGAGAGGUAGACGGUAUUCUGUGGGUAGGGGUAAAAUCCACUGAUCCAUAGAGGACCACCAGUGGCGAAGGCGGUCUACCAGAACGCGUUCGACGGUGAGGGAUGAAAGCUGGGGGAGCAAACCGGAUUAGAUACCCGGGUAGUCCCAGCUGUAAACGAUGCAAACUCGGUGAUGCAUUGACUUAUGGUCAAUGCAGUGCCGCAGGGAGCCGUUAAGUUUGCCGCCUGGGAAGUACGGACGCAAGUCUGAAACUUAAAGGAAUUGGCGGGGGAGCACCACAAGGGUGAAGCCUGCGGUUCAAUUGGAUUCAACGC